RNAcentral lists this ribosomal RNA (450 nucleotides) under uncultured bacterium. RNAcentral's name for it is "partial 16S ribosomal RNA". It matches the Rfam family "Bacterial small subunit ribosomal RNA", at positions 354 to 796 of the family's 1533-position model. The record is from RNAcentral.
GUGGGGAAUAUUGGACAAUGGGCGAAAGCCUGAUCCAGCCAUGCCGCGUGUGUGAAGAAGGUCUUCGGAUUGUAAAGCACUUUAAGUUGGGAGGAAGGGUAGUAACCUAAUACGUUGCUACUUUGACGUUACCGACAGAAUAAGCACCGGCUAACUUCGUGCCAGCAGCCGCGGUAAUACGAAGGGUGCAAGCGUUAAUCGGAAUUACUGGGCGUAAAGCGCGCGUAGGUGGCUCAGUAAGUUGGAAGUGAAAUCCCCGGGCUCAACCUGGGAACUGCUUUCAAAACUGCUGAGCUAGAGUACGGUAGAGGGUGGUGGAAUUUCCUGUGUAGCGGUGAAAUGCGUAGAUAUAGGAAGGAACACCAGUGGCGAAGGCGACCACCUGGACUGAUACUGACACUGAGGUGCGAAAGCGUGGGGAGCAAACAGGAUUAGAAACCCCAGUAGUCC